RNAcentral lists this ribosomal RNA (349 nucleotides) under uncultured bacterium. RNAcentral describes it as "bacterial SSU rRNA". It matches the Rfam family "Bacterial small subunit ribosomal RNA", at positions 8 to 350 of the family's 1533-position model. The record is from RNAcentral.
AGAGUUUGAUCCUGGCUCAGGAUGAACGCUAGCUACAGGCUUAACACAUGCAAGUCGAACGAGAGAAGAUCGGUGCUUGCACUGAUCCGAUCGAGUGGCGGACGGGUGAGUAACGCGUGGGUAACCUGCCUCAUACAGGGGAAUAACAGUUGGAAACGGCUGCUAAAACCGCAUAAGCGCACAGUAUCGCAUGAUACAGUGUGAAAAACUCCGGUGGUAUGAGAUGGACCCGCGUCUGAUUAGCUAGUUGGUGAGGUAACGGCCACCAAGGCAACGAUCAGUAGCCGGCCUGAGAGGGUGAACGGCCACAUUGGGACUGGAGACACGGCCCAAACUCCUACGGGAGGCA